AACGAACGCUGGCGGCAUGCCUAACACAUGCAAGUCGAACGAGACCUUCGGGUCUAGUGGCGCACGGGUGCGUAACGCGUGGGAACCUGCCCUUAGGUUCGGAAUAACUCCCCGAAAGGGGUGCUAAUACCGGAUAAUGUCUUCGGACCAAAGAUUUAUCGCCUUUGGAUGGGCCCGCGUUGGAUUAGCUAGUUGGUAGGGUAAAAGCCUACCAAGGCGACGAUCCAUAGCUGGUCUGAGAGGAUGAUCAGCCACACUGGGGCUGAGACACGGCCCAGACUCCUACGGGAGGCAGCAGUGGGGAAUAUUGGACAAUGGGCGAAAGCCUGAUCCAGCAAUGCCGCGUGAGUGAUGAAGGCCUUAGGGUUGUAAAGCUCUUUUACCCGGGAUGAUAAUGACAGUACCGGGAGAAUAAGCACCGGCUAACUCCGUG
RNAcentral lists this ribosomal RNA (433 nucleotides) under uncultured bacterium. RNAcentral describes it as "partial 16S ribosomal RNA". It matches the Rfam family "Bacterial small subunit ribosomal RNA", at positions 29 to 507 of the family's 1533-position model. The record is from RNAcentral.